AUGCCAUCAUCAAGGCACUACCAUUCUGGUAGAAUUUACUCACCAACUGGUUCAUCUGAUCAGUGGACUGGCACAUCAGGGCAAUGGUUUUCAAGAGAUGUGAACGUCCAGAUAUACGCUCUGAGUAGUGGGCCGGAAGAUGCCACAUCAUUCCCAAUACUAUGCUGUCUCUAACACAACUGAAAUGGGGUGCACCACAGAGCAGAUCACUCAUAAUGGGCCACUUACUGAACACUUGUCACCUGGACACAAAUGAGAAAUCCAGGAAAGCAGAAAUGUAAAUGCCUUACCACUAAGACACCAAUAUUGGAAAUCAGGCAGGAAAAUCACUGCUCAGGCAUGGACGCCAAUGUCUACUCCUGGAAAUCCGCUUCUGCUCACUCCAGAAAGCACCGGAGGUGUGACGAGAGCAACCCUCAUUGCUGUGCAUCCCCUGGCAGGAAACACACGCUCAGGUGCAUUUGUUCGUCCGUUUUCUUUGAAAUGCUGUGGAAAGCAGUGUACAGCAGUCCUAGCAAAAGGAGAAUUCAGAAGACGGAGGAGAUUUUGCCCUUCUUCACCCAUGAAGGAUCCUAAUGAUGCCCACAUUCCAGCCAAGAAAGAAGAUCACCAAAUUAUCAGAAAAAUCUUCUCUGGAUUCUUCUGAAGAGCUAAGUGAACACCGCAGUGGAUUUCAGCCACCGUCCCACACCUACAAGAUGUCAAAAGCGCCAAAUCCCAGAGCCUAAUGGGACCUCUGCAGUAGCCAACAUCCCAUAUGCAUAAAAGAACCUUAUAUAGUAGUAUCUCCCCAGCAAAGGGACUGUUCUUGGAAGCCAAACCAUGCUGCUUCUAGAUCCGUAUCCAUUAUCAGCAGUAGAGGAGACAGAGACAGUGCUAGGAGGAGGAAGGACUUAGAGAAAAAGGAGGAGAGCAAUAGAGAAAGGCAUCUGAGUUCCUGUUUAUACCAGUUAUCAGUGAACUUAAUAUACCAAUGAAUUUAAAAUGCACUCGGGGGAAGUUUCCCAUAAAUAGGUUAACUGCAAAAAUAUUCCCACAAGUAGUCAGACUGCCUCCUCUGAGGACAGUGCCUUCAGAAACACUCUUUUUCUGACUAACUUUAGAAACUCUAAAUGCCAGCAACUCUAGCCUGCGGGUCUUCCCCAAGGCCUUCUUACUCUCUUUAGCAUCCUUGAUAAAUAUUUAAAGAACGCUUUCUUAACCUUUCUCUUUGGCUUCUGCAUUCUUGAUACCUUAAUUCUGAAUUGAAAAAGAUCUCUGGUCUAGGACAAUCUUUCUGCCCGUGAGCGUUUGUAACAGAAAGCUCUCCAAGCUAUGCCCAUGGCUUUGCGUUUCCUGGGAAAGGAGGGAGAAAGGAAAAGCAAAUGUUUCAUUCAUCAGUGUCUAAAAGGCCCAACCUGAGCCUCUCAGGAUCUCUGCCUCUUCCAGGGCAAGUCUGCUUGGCCCCAGAGGGAUCUGUCUCCCUCCAACCAGAUGAGAUGCACGGAAUCUAUGGUCCACCAGACAGUACUUAAGGAUGCUGCCUUGCCCAACCUGUGAACAAGCCUCUCUCCAAAACUUUCCUCUCUUGAAUAAAAGUGUG
This 1582-nucleotide long non-coding RNA is filed under the name Equus caballus (horse). RNAcentral's name for it is "lncRNA (ENSECAG00000037144.3)". Lineage: Eukaryota; Metazoa; Chordata; Mammalia; Perissodactyla; Equidae. The record is from RNAcentral.